RNAcentral lists this ribosomal RNA (253 nucleotides) under uncultured bacterium. Its description in RNAcentral is "partial 16S ribosomal RNA". It matches the Rfam family "Bacterial small subunit ribosomal RNA", at positions 524 to 776 of the family's 1533-position model. The record is from RNAcentral.
UACAGAGGUCUCAAGCGUUGUUCGGAUUCAUUGGGCGUAAAGGGUGCGUAGGUGGCGCCGUAAGUCAGGUGUGAAAUUUCGGAGCUUAACUCCGAAACUGCAUUUGAUACUGCGGUGCUUGAGGACUGGAGAGGAGACUGGAAUUUACGGUGUAGCAGUGAAAUGCGUAGAGAUCGUAAGGAAGGCCAGUGGCGAAGGCGAGUUCCUGGACAGUUACUGACGCUGAGGCACGAAGGCCAGGGGAGCAAACGGG